UUGAACGCUGGCGGCAGACCUAACACAUGCAAGUCGAACGGUAACAGGAAGAAGCUUGCUUCUUUGCUGACGAGUGGCGGACGGGUGAGUAAUGUCUGGGAAACUGCCUGAUGGAGGGGGAUAACUACUGGAAACGGUAGCUAAUACCGCAUAACGUCGCAAGACCAAAAAGGGGGACCUUCGGGCCUCUUGCCAUCGGAUGUGCCCAGAUGGGAUUAGCUAGUAGGUGGGGUAACGGCUCACCUAGGCGACGAUCCCUAGCUGGUCUGAGAGGAUGACCAGCCACACUGGAACUGAGACACGGUCCAGACUCCUACGGGAGGCAGCAGUGGGGAAUAUUGCACAAUGGGCGCAAGCCUGAUGCAGCCAUGCCGCGUGUAUGAAGAAGGCCUUCGGGUUGUAAAGUACUUUCAGCGGGGAGGAAGGGAGUAAAGUUAAUACCUUUGCUCAUUGACGUUACCCGCAGAAGAAGCACCGGCUAACUCCGUG
Molecule: ribosomal RNA, 489 nt
Filed under: uncultured bacterium
Lineage: Bacteria
Description: partial 16S ribosomal RNA
Rfam family: Bacterial small subunit ribosomal RNA
Source: RNAcentral